Molecule: long non-coding RNA, 926 nt
Filed under: Amborella trichopoda
Lineage: Eukaryota; Viridiplantae; Streptophyta; Magnoliopsida; Amborellales; Amborellaceae
Description: long non-coding RNA (ATRI_LNC003784)
Source: RNAcentral
AAGAUUGUUGUUUGAUCCCCAGGUAUUAUAUCUUAAUAUGGUGUCUUUGUUUAGUGUUAUGUAGAGAUUCACGGACUGGAUUUAUCGAGACUUUACAAGGUCCAACUCCAAGUUGGAUUUCAUGGCAAUUGCAACUUUAGGAGUAGAUUCAGUUGUUAUUGAAAGAACAAAGGAGCUGGAGUGAACUUUCGUGCAUUUAGCAGAGAUAUUUAGUUGGAAUUUAUUGGAUAUUGACUUAAAAUCUGUGGUUUUAGCUUAGCAUCAGUCGCAAUUCAAAACAGAACAUAACAUGUUGUCUAUCAAAUAAAUCUUCCGAUGUUGCAUACUCAGGUCUUGAAUCUUAGGAUCUUCUGUUUAUCAAGGUUCUACUAAAAUUCAAUAAUGAAAAGGACAAAAAGAACUAUCAAAAGAAACUUGAAUGAAGUUCAUGAUCUCUGAAUCUCCACCUCUAAAGCUCUGCUGAAACCAUACUGCUAUCAGACUGACUAGUGGUUUAUUUGGUGUGCUUUGUUAGACAAACUUGUGAUCUGUUUUUGAAUUGUGUACCAUGGGAUUCCAGUCAUAAAUUCCUGUAUUAAUUUUGCAACAGAGAGAAAACUAUUGAUCCUGAGACUGAUGUAUUAUACGUCAUCAAAUACUUUUGCAGGUGGGGGCAAUCGCACUCUUGGCUUUGACAGGACUAUUAACUUUCAUGCUAUUCUUGUCUGUGGCCACAGCAAAUGCAGUUAUAAUAUCGCUCUUCGUGUCUUUCGCAGCAGCUGGUGGCUUCUUAGCAAUUUUCUUUGCGUGUGUAACUGCAAUUUACAUUGCAGUUCUAUCCAUUGCUGCAUUCGUGAUUUCCACUGUUACUCUGGUGACCAUAUUUGCAGUAUUUGUUGCCACAGGUAUAUAGCUUUUUAGUUGACAACAUCUCUCUCUCUCUCUCU